AGCAGCCGCGGUAAUUCCAGCUCCAAUAGCGUAUAUUAAAGUUGUUGCAGUUAAAAAGCUCGUAGUUGAAUUUCGGGACCAAUAUGUCGGUCGUGCCUCGGUACGCACUGGCUUAUUGGCUUCUCCUUUCUGAAGAACCAUGAUGUCAUUCAUUUGGUGUCGUGGGGAAUCAGGACUGUUACUUUGAAAAAAUUAGAGUGUUUAAAGCAGGCUCACGCUUGAAUACAUUAGCAUGGAAUAAUGAAAUAGGACGUUUGAUUCUAUUUUGUUGGUUUCUAGGAUCGACGUAAUGAUUAAUAGGGAUAGUUGGGGGCAUUAGUAUUCAAUUGUCAGAGGUGAAAUUCUUGGAUUUAUUGAAGACUAACUACUGCGAAAGCAUUUGCCAAGGAUGUUUUCAUUAAUCAAGAACGAAAGUUAGGGGAUCGAAGACGAUCAGAUACCGUCGUAGUCUUAACCAUAAACUAUGCCGACUAGGGAUCGGAUGAUGUUAAUUUUUAAUGA
This 501-nucleotide ribosomal RNA is filed under the name uncultured Glomus. Its description in RNAcentral is "SSU rRNA". It matches the Rfam family "Eukaryotic small subunit ribosomal RNA", at positions 569 to 1074 of the family's 1831-position model. The record is from RNAcentral. Lineage: Eukaryota; Fungi; Glomeromycota; Glomeromycetes; Glomerales; Glomeraceae.